CCUACGGGUGACUGCAGUGGGGAAUAUUGGGCAAUGGGCGCAAGCCUGACCCAGCAAUGCCGCGUGAAGGAAGAAGGCUUUCGGGUUGUAAACUUCUUUGACAGGGGAAGAGCAGAAGACGGUACCCUGAAAACAAGCCACGGCUAACUACGUGCCAGAAGCCGCGGUAAUACGUAGGUGGCAAGCGUUGUACGGAUUUACUGGGUGUAAAGGGCGUGUAGCCGGGAAGGCAAGUCAGAUGUGAAAUCUGGAGGCUCAACCUCCAAAUUGCAUUUGAGACUGUUUUUCUUGCGUACUGGAGAGGCAGACGGAAUUCCUUGUGGAGCGGUGAAAUGCGUAGAUAUAAGGAGGAACACCAGUGGCGAAGGCGGUCUGCUGGACAGCAACUGACGGUGAGGCGCGAAAGCGUGGGGAGCAAACAGGAUUAGAUACCCCUGUAGUC
This 442-nucleotide ribosomal RNA is filed under the name uncultured bacterium. RNAcentral describes it as "partial 16S ribosomal RNA". It matches the Rfam family "Bacterial small subunit ribosomal RNA", at positions 338 to 795 of the family's 1533-position model. The record is from RNAcentral.